Triticum aestivum (bread wheat) is the source of this 380-nucleotide long non-coding RNA. RefSeq lists it as uncharacterized. The transcript is spliced from 3 exons. The record is from RefSeq and is a predicted model, not a curated record. Lineage: Eukaryota; Viridiplantae; Streptophyta; Magnoliopsida; Poales; Poaceae.
UGAGGAGCGCCUCGAAGCCUCCCACCUCCUCUCCAGAAACCCUCUCCAUCUCCCUCCCCAUGGUUGUCAAUUUGUAGCCGGAGUCCCAAGUCCGUCGCAGCUUCCGACGAAGUUUCAGUCACAUAUGCCGGAGCUCACGAACGGCGACGAGUACAUCCAAGCGGAAACUCCGGCGAACUCCAGCGGUUCACACGGCUUCCCGAGGACGAAUUGGUCGUCAACAACGACAUCACCUUCAUCACCGCGUCCGCGUGGUGUAUUUCACCGUCCGCCUUUCCUACUCGGCGGAGCACGCCCGACCGGACCUCCUUCCCCGAUAUAUCGUAACGAGAAGGAGAGACGACUCAAUAUAAUAUUUCAUCUUCAUCAAUAGUACAAGG